UACCUUCUAUAAGUAAAAUCUGCUCCAUGUUAAAAUAAAUAGCCGCAGAAUCUUAACUGUGCUAAGGUAGCAUAAUCAUUUACCUUUUAAUUAAAGGUUUGUAUGAAAGAUUUAACAUUUAAAUUACUUUUUUAUUAACAAAUUUUAAAAUUAAACUAAGCAUAAAAAUGUUUUUAUAAUACAAAGAGACGACAAGACCCUAUUGAACUUUACUAAAGUUAAGCUGGGGAAGCUAAUUAAACACAAUUUUAAUUUAAUAUGACUUAAAAAUUUCUGGAUUUUCCAAUAUAAUCAAGUUACCAUAGGGAUAACAGCGUAAUAAUUCUUUAAAGCUCUUAUUAAAAGAAAAGAUUGCGACCUCGAUGUUGAAUUAGAAUUACUUUAAAACGCAAUAGUCAUAAAAGUAGGUCUGUUCGACCUUUAAAUUUCUACA
RNAcentral lists this ribosomal RNA (433 nucleotides) under Troglohyphantes bolivarorum. RNAcentral describes it as "partial large subunit ribosomal RNA". It matches the Rfam family "Bacterial large subunit ribosomal RNA", at positions 1840 to 2600 of the family's 2925-position model. Lineage: Eukaryota; Metazoa; Arthropoda; Arachnida; Araneae; Linyphiidae. The record is from RNAcentral.